RNAcentral lists this ribosomal RNA (253 nucleotides) under uncultured microorganism. Its description in RNAcentral is "partial small subunit ribosomal RNA". It matches the Rfam family "Bacterial small subunit ribosomal RNA", at positions 524 to 776 of the family's 1533-position model. The record is from RNAcentral.
UACGUAGGUGGCGAGCGUUGUCCGGAUUUACUGGGUGUAAAGGAUGCGUAGGCGGAUAUUCAAGUCAGAUGUGAAAAUCCCGGGCUUAACUUGGGAACUGCAUUUGAAACUGGGUAUCUGGAGUGCAGGAGAGGUGAGCGGAAUUCCUAGUGUAGCGGUGAAAUGCGUAGAGAUUAGGAAGAACACCGGUGGCGAAGGCGGCUCACUGGACUGUAACUGACGCUGAGGCAUGAAAGCGUGGGUAGCAAACAGG